AGUACCUACUAAUUAAGUUUUUGAAAUUCGUUGCUCUUAUUUGUUUUUGAACAAAAACAAAAAACCGGAUCUAAAAAUCUUGUCUUUUUCGAAAAAUUAACAAAAAAACUCUGACGCGGAAAAUUUUCAAAUUCAACCCAGAGGACGUAAGACGUCCUCGAUCAACUUGGCAAGAGAAAAUAGAAGCAGUUGGCCAAUUAGAGAUCUAGCUUGAAGAGCUUGUUGGUUGAGGCACGAAUCUACAAUGGAUUGUAGACCUGCCUAAAGGCUCUGAUCCUCCUUAGUAAAUAAAAGAGUUGGCUUCAUAACAACGGAAAUUUGCUUACAUAGGUAUUUGAUGUUGAUAAGAUUAUAUACAACUCGAAUCAAAUCGUGAAUUGUUCUGCUUUGAUGAGUUAAUACGCACAAUUGAUAAUAUGAGCACCUACAAGUUCGUGCGACAUAUUCCGAUCAUUUUCAAUUCAAUUGCGUUUCCAAUUUAUUUAUUUUUAUAGAAAUGAAUAAUUAAAAAAUGCUUAUCAUUUA
Molecule: long non-coding RNA, 525 nt
Organism: Episyrphus balteatus (marmalade hoverfly)
Lineage: Eukaryota; Metazoa; Arthropoda; Insecta; Diptera; Syrphidae
Exons: 2
Source: RefSeq, a predicted model, not a curated record